UUCAAGUGUAGCUGUGAUUUUCCGUGUUCAAUUUUGAUCGUCUGUUUUAUUUAAAAUAUUUUUAUAAAUUAGUAUUUUUUUGUUAUAGAUGAUAAAAUAUGAAUAGUACGACUUAUAUUUUUAAUUUAUUUUCAAAUUUUUUUCAAAUAAGAUAUAUGAUUAAAGUUGGGCGUGAAAAACCAUGGCUACACUUAAA
This is a microRNA precursor of Oryza sativa Japonica Group (Japanese rice), 196 nucleotides long. It matches the Rfam family "MIR812 microRNA precursor family". Lineage: Eukaryota; Viridiplantae; Streptophyta; Magnoliopsida; Poales; Poaceae. The record is from Rfam.